RNAcentral lists this ribosomal RNA (338 nucleotides) under uncultured bacterium. RNAcentral describes it as "bacterial SSU rRNA". It matches the Rfam family "Bacterial small subunit ribosomal RNA", at positions 9 to 333 of the family's 1533-position model. The record is from RNAcentral.
CGAGUUUUGAUCCUGGCUCAGGAUGAACGCUAGCUACAGGCCUAACACAUGCAAGUCGAGGGGCAUCGGGGAGGGAAGCUUGCUUCCCUUGCCGGCGACCGGCGCACGGGUGAGUAACGCGUAUCGAACCUGCCCCAUACCCGGGGGAUAGCCUUGCGAAAGUAAGAUUAAUACCCGAUGGUUUCCUUUUGCCUCCUGACAAAAAGGAAUAAAGAACUUCGGUAUGGGAUGGCGAUGCGUCCGAUUAGCUGGUUGGCGGGGUAACGGCCCCACCAAGGCGACGAUCGGUAGGGGUUCUGAGAGGAAGGUCCCCCACAUUGGAACUGAGACACGGUCCA